CUGUUGUGUUGCAGACAUCAAUGAGUGUGGACCACCCUUGGCGGUGUCCUGUGGAAAAUUUGCUGACUGCCAGAAUGUGGACGGGAGCCACUACUGCACAUGUAGCCCAGGAUAUGGCCUCGUUUCUGGGGCAACAACGUUCAGAAACGAGAGUGAGAACACGUGUCAAGACGUGGACGAAUGUCAGCAGAAACCCAGAAUCUGUAAAGGCCGCAGUGUCUGCAUCAACACCCUGGGCAGCUACACCUGCACGUGCCCGCCCGGCUUGGAGCUCAACCCAAAGGACCCGAAUCUGUGCACAGAUGUGAAUGAAUGUGCCUCGGGGCACAAUCCCUGCCACA
Equus quagga is the source of this 341-nucleotide long non-coding RNA. RefSeq lists it as uncharacterized. The transcript has 3 exons. Lineage: Eukaryota; Metazoa; Chordata; Mammalia; Perissodactyla; Equidae. The record is from RefSeq and is a predicted model, not a curated record.